This 399-nucleotide ribosomal RNA is filed under the name uncultured bacterium. Its description in RNAcentral is "bacterial SSU rRNA". It matches the Rfam family "Bacterial small subunit ribosomal RNA", at positions 362 to 776 of the family's 1533-position model. The record is from RNAcentral.
UAUUGCACAAUGGGGGAAACCCUGAUGCAGCGACGCCGCGCGAGUGAAGAAGUAUCUCGGUAUGUAACGCUCUAUCAGCAGGGAAGAAGAAAUGACGGUACCUGAGUAAGAAGCCCCGGCUAACUACGUGCCAGCCGCCGCGGUAAUACGUAGGGGGCAAGCGUUAUCCGGAAUUACUGGGUGUAAAGGGAGCGUAGACGGCAGCACAAGUCUGGAGUGAAAUGCCGGGGCUUAACCCCGGAACUGCUUUGGAAACUGUGCAGCUAGAGUGCAGGAGAGGUAAGUGGAAUUCCUAGUGUAGCGGUGAAAUGCAUAGAUAUUAGGAGGAACACCAGUGGCGAAGGCGGCUUACUGGACCGUAACUGACGUUGAGGCUCGAAAGCGUGGGUAGCGAACAGG